UUCCAGCUGACGAGUCCAAAAUAGGACGAAACGCUUGUCCUGAAU
Non-coding RNA from Schistosoma mansoni, 45 nucleotides. The record is from Rfam. NCBI's taxonomy places the organism in Eukaryota, Metazoa, Platyhelminthes, Trematoda, Strigeidida, Schistosomatidae.